This 253-nucleotide ribosomal RNA is filed under the name uncultured bacterium. RNAcentral describes it as "partial 16S ribosomal RNA". It matches the Rfam family "Bacterial small subunit ribosomal RNA", at positions 524 to 776 of the family's 1533-position model. The record is from RNAcentral.
UACGUAGGGUGCAAGCGUUAAUCGGAAUUACUGGGCGUAAAGCGUGCGCAGGCGGUGAUGCAAGACAGAUGUGAAAUCCCCGGGCUCAACCUGGGAACUGCAUUUGGGACUGCAAGGCUGGAGUACGGCAGAGGGAGGUGGAAUUCCACGUGUAGCAGUGAAAUGCGUAGAGAUGUGGAGGAACACCGAUGGCGAAGGCAGCCUCCUGGGCUAGUACUGACGCUCAUGCACGAAAGCGUGGGGAGCAAACAGG